UAUAACCGGACAAUAGCAUGGACAGUGAGUCUCGACAAUAGCUACCGUGCGGAUCGUAGUAUAGUCACUCGGGUGGAAUUAAUGCUGUAAUCCGAUAAGUGCAUGGAAACUUAUUACACUACUAGUGCCGACAAGUGAUCGCUUCGUAGUGCGAGAAGAGGGCUAUCUCAUCUAUGGUUGACCUAUUGAUCAGCCAAUAAAGCACGUGGGCAACGAAUCUCGACUCUACAAAGCACAAGCAAUUCUUAAGCCACCCAUCGGAAUCGGGGCGAGGCACAAUCAAACGGCGGAGGCAAUAGAUGCUAUAACCCCACAGAUUUCAGCAUGUUAUUGUAAACUACACCCUGAACCGAAGAUACGACUAUAAAUCACGUUAAAAGGCCCUACGAACCAGGUAAAAAAUGGUACAUUACAAGUUCGAUUACGUUAAUGCUGACAAGUCACUCUCGACAGCGAGGGCCUUUUAUUCGCACUCUGGAUCACGCAGACAAAUAUCGCUAUUGCAUGGUAUUGUGUUUGAUGGCUAUUGUAUGCGCAGUGACCAACAGCCAGCACAAAUCGGCGAGGGGAGGACAGGCAAAGGAAAGAUAUACGGACCCGUUGGCGCACACAAAGGAAUCCGUGUGAACGCGUGCUUGUCUCGAACCGAAGUGCAAUUGCGUUCGAUGCGGCACGCGCAGUACAACAUCACAUCAUUCCACGCAUUUUGUCGCGCGACGGACGAUGUAGCACCCUCGAAAACGUGCAACAUCGCAGAUGACGACUCGAGUAUUCAACUACCACGGAAGAUGCAUGCAGUAUCAUCAAUGAAAUGGGGCCCCCAACGAUGAAGACAGACAUUGUAUGAUAGGAUGAGAAGACAGGUACAAUAGACAUUAGAUAACACCAAA
Molecule: long non-coding RNA, 890 nt
Organism: Armigeres subalbatus
Lineage: Eukaryota; Metazoa; Arthropoda; Insecta; Diptera; Culicidae
Exons: 4
Source: RefSeq, a predicted model, not a curated record